RNAcentral lists this ribosomal RNA (497 nucleotides) under uncultured bacterium. RNAcentral's name for it is "partial 16S ribosomal RNA". It matches the Rfam family "Bacterial small subunit ribosomal RNA", at positions 28 to 507 of the family's 1533-position model. The record is from RNAcentral.
GAUGAACGCUGGCGGCGUGCCUAAUACAUGCAAGUCGAGCGAACAGACGAGGAGCUUGCUCCUCUGACGUUAGCGGCGGACGGGUGAGUAACACGUGGAUAACCUACCUAUAAGACUGGGAUAACUUCGGGAAACCGGAGCUAAUACCGGAUAAUAUAUUGAACCGCAUGGGUCAAUAGUGAAAUACGGUUUUUCUGUCUCUUAUAGAUGCAUCUGCGCCGCAUUAGCGAGUUGGUAAGGUAACGGCUUACCACGGCGACGCUGCGUAGCCGACCUGAGAGGGUGAUCGGCCACACUGGAACGGAGACACGGUCAAGAGUCCUACGGGACGCAGCAGUAGGGAAUCUUCCGCAAUGGGCGAAAGCCUGACGGAGCAACGCCGAGUGAGUGAUGAAGGUCUUCGGAUCGUAAAACUCUGUUAUUAGGGAAGAACAAAUGUGUAAGUAACUAUGCACGUAUUGACGGUACCUAAUCAGAAAGCAACGGCUAACUACGUG